Long non-coding RNA from Vespula pensylvanica (western yellowjacket), 681 nucleotides. RefSeq lists it as uncharacterized. The transcript is spliced from 2 exons. NCBI's taxonomy places the organism in Eukaryota, Metazoa, Arthropoda, Insecta, Hymenoptera, Vespidae. The record is from RefSeq and is a predicted model, not a curated record.
UACUACUACUACUACUACUACUACUACUACUAUUACCACUACUACUACUACUACUACUACUACCAACUACUACACUACUACUAUUACCUACCUACCUACUACGUACCUAGAUACCUGUUACUGGACUUUUAGGGCACGAAUGAAGGAACUUUCUUAUAAUAGUAGUAUAGAUUCGAUACAUGAAGGUUCGAUCGACGACGUUAAAAAGAUCGAUAAUGUUCAAACUACGAGAGGGUGCAUGGUGAAUGAAAAAGAAAUAACGAAAGAAGAAAAAGGUGAAGAAAAAAAAAAUAUUAAUAAAAUAAAAUGAAAUGAGUAUAUAUAUACAUAUAUGUAUAUACAUAUGUAUAUACAUAUAUGAUUAUAUAUAUGUAUAUGAAAGGAAAACGUCUAUACAACUGUUGCACCUACGUCAGAGAACCUAUUUGUUGUGAAUAUAUUAUAUACAAAAUAAAUAAAUAAAUAAAUAAAUAAAUAAAUAAAUAAAUAAAUGAAUAAAUAAAUAAAUAAAUAUAUAUAUAUAUAUUAUACAUACAUACACAGUACAGGUAUUUAGGUAAACGUGUACACAUAAUACGAGAAUAAGAUUCAUUCGGUUGAUCGUACGAAUUCGAUUGUAAAUUAAUUAAUGAAAAAUUGUAAAUAGCUCUAAAUGUGAAUAUAGAACAGAUGUAUCUAUUA